GGAGUUAUGAAAUGCCGGAGGGUUAAUAGCGUUCUUGCUUGACUAAGGCUCCAGAGGAAGCCACGGCUAACUCUGUGCCAGCAGCCGCGGUAAUACAAAGGCGGCAAGCGUUGUUCGGAAUUAUUGGGCGUAAAGAGCACGUAGGCGGCCUUGCAAGUCAGUUGUGAAAGCCUUCCGCUCAACGGAAGAAUGCCUUCUGAUACUACAGGGCUAGAGUACGGGAGGGGAGAGUG
RNAcentral lists this ribosomal RNA (233 nucleotides) under uncultured Planctomycetales bacterium. RNAcentral describes it as "partial 16S ribosomal RNA". It matches the Rfam family "Bacterial small subunit ribosomal RNA", at positions 439 to 663 of the family's 1533-position model. Lineage: Bacteria; Pseudomonadati; Planctomycetota; Planctomycetia; Planctomycetales. The record is from RNAcentral.